AGUGGGAUAGCUGGGUCAAAUGGUGGUUCCAUUUAAAUUCUUCUGAGGAAUCUCCAUUCUGCUUUCCAUAUUGGUUGUACCACUUUGCAGUCCCACCAGCAAU
This 103-nucleotide microRNA precursor is filed under the name Marmota monax (woodchuck). The record is from RNAcentral. Lineage: Eukaryota; Metazoa; Chordata; Mammalia; Rodentia; Sciuridae.